This 642-nucleotide ribosomal RNA is filed under the name Tingidae gen. 1 sp. d RS-2018. Its description in RNAcentral is "SSU rRNA". It matches the Rfam family "Eukaryotic small subunit ribosomal RNA", at positions 394 to 944 of the family's 1831-position model. The record is from RNAcentral. Lineage: Eukaryota; Metazoa; Arthropoda; Insecta; Hemiptera; Tingidae.
GCCUGAGAAACGGCUACCACAUCCAAGGAAGGCAGCAGGCACGCAAAUUACCCACUCCCGGCACGGGGAGGUAGUGACAAAAAAUAACGAUGCGGGACUCUUUUGAGGCCCCGUAAUCGGAAUGAGUACACUUUAAAUCCUUUAACGAUAAUCAAUUAGAGGGCAAGUCUGGUGCCAGCAGCCGCGGUAAUUCCAGCUCUAAUAGCGUAUAUUAAAGUUGUUGCGGUUAAAAAGCUCGUAGUUGGUUCUGCGUGCCACGCUGUCGGUUCGCCGCCUGACGGUGUAACUGGCAUGUCGUGGCAUGUCCUGUCGGUGGCGAACUAGGGUCACACUCGUUUUCCCCAUUCGGGCUCGUCUCGGGUGUAAGGAGCGGUGUGGUCACUCGGUUCGCCGGCUCUAUCCUGCCGCGGUGCUUUUAACCAAGUGUCGAGGUAGGCCGACACGUUUACUUUGAACAAAUUAGAGUGCUCAAAGCAGGCUUAAAUCUCUGCCUGAAUAGUGGUGCAUGGAAUAAUGGAACAGGACCUUGGUUCUAUUCUGUUGGUCUCCGGAACACAAGGUAAUGAUCAAUGUGGACAGGCGGGGGCAUUCGUAUUGCGACGUUAGAGGUGAAAUUCUUGGAUCGUCGCAAGACGCACUAGA